Molecule: ribosomal RNA, 450 nt
Filed under: uncultured bacterium
Lineage: Bacteria
Description: bacterial SSU rRNA
Rfam family: Bacterial small subunit ribosomal RNA
Source: RNAcentral
GUGGGGAAUAUUGGACAAUGGGCGAAAGCCUGAUCCAGCCAUGCCGCGUGUGUGAAGAAGGUCUUCGGAUUGUAAAGCACUUUAAGUUGGGAGGAAGGGUAGUAACCUAAUACGUUGCUACUUUGACGUUACCGACAGAAUAAGCACCGGCUAACUUCGUGCCAGCAGCCGCGGUAAUACGAAGGGUGCAAGCGUUAAUCGGAAUUACUGGGCGUAAAGCGCGCGUAGGUGGUUCAGUAAGUUGGAAGUGAAAUCCCCGGGCUCAACCUGGGAACUGCUUUCAAAACUGCUGAGCUAGAGUACGGUAGAGGGUGGUGGAAUUUCCGGUGUAGCGGUGAAAUGCGUAGAUAUAGGAAGGAACACCAGUGGCGAAGGCGACCACCUGGACUGAUACUGACACUGAGGUGCGAAAGCGUGGGGAGCAAACAGGAUUAGAAACCCCAGUAGUCC